AUGUACUUGACAGAUGGCCUAGUGCCAUACACAGAAGUAUUUAGUGUGUUGGAUUGGUGGAAAGUAGCUGGAACAAGAUAUCCAACAUUAAGGAAGGUUGCCAGAGAUAUAUUUGCCAUUCCCGUGACAACAGUUGCUUCAGAGUCCGCAUUUAGCACAAGUGGCAGAAUACUUAGUGAGCAUAGGAGCCGCCUAACUCCUAAUAUGGUGGAAGUCUUGAUGUGCUCCCAAAAUUGGCUUAGAAACAAAUGCAAAGGUGAGCAAAUAAUGUAA
RNAcentral lists this ribosomal RNA (273 nucleotides) under Triticum aestivum (bread wheat). RNAcentral's name for it is "partial small subunit ribosomal RNA". The record is from RNAcentral. Lineage: Eukaryota; Viridiplantae; Streptophyta; Magnoliopsida; Poales; Poaceae.